This 494-nucleotide ribosomal RNA is filed under the name uncultured bacterium. RNAcentral describes it as "partial 16S ribosomal RNA". It matches the Rfam family "Bacterial small subunit ribosomal RNA", at positions 28 to 507 of the family's 1533-position model. The record is from RNAcentral.
GACGAACGCUGGCGGCGUGCUUAACACAUGCAAGUCGAACGGUGAAGCGCCUUCCUUUUUGGUGGGUGUGGAUGAGUGGCGAACGGGUGAGUAACACGUGAGUAACCUGCCCCCUUCUUCUGGAUAACCGCAUGAAAGUGUGGCUAAUACGGGAUAUUCUGGGUCUGUCGCAUGAUGGGUCUGGGAAAGAUAUUGUUUCGGUGGGGGAUGGGCUCGCGGCCUAUCAGCUUGUUGGUGGGGUGAUGGCCUACCAAGGCGGUGACGGGUAGCCGGCCUGAGAGGGUGGACGGUCACACUGGGACUGAGACACGGCCCAGACUCCUACGGGAGGCAGCAGUGGGGAAUAUUGCACAAUGGGCGCAAGCCUGAUGCAGCGACGCCGCGUGAGGGAUGGAGGCCUUCGGGUUGUGAACCUCUUUCGCCAGUGAAGCAGGCCUGCCUCGUUUGUGGGUGGGUUGACGGUAGCUGGAUAAGAAGCUCCGGCUAACUACGUG